Long non-coding RNA from Chrysemys picta bellii (western painted turtle), 4431 nucleotides. RefSeq lists it as uncharacterized. Lineage: Eukaryota; Metazoa; Chordata; Testudines; Emydidae. The record is from RefSeq and is a predicted model, not a curated record.
UAGGAGCCGGAGCGGGGACAUGCUGCUGCUUCCGGGAGCUGCUUGAGAACAGCAUCUCCCCCUGCUGCCCAGCCUCCCCUACGCGAUCAAGGAUAGCAGUGCAAGACUGAGUCACAGCCACGCCACACCACUGCACUCCAGGCGCUGCGGGGAGUGCCCCAGGCUGCACCGGUCCGGGCGCUGUACAGGGGCGAAGGAGAGCAAGAGCGGCAGCGCCCCCAACAACCACCCCCACCCCAGCUCCCGGCCAGCCCUGCCGGAGCAGCAUGAGGCAAAGCCCGGAGCCAGCGACACCUGUUUCCGUUGCUUUCCUAAAUGCCCAGGUGUUGACGACUAGCGGCAGCGCAGCCAGACCCGCGCCCGCCGCCCCGGACACAGGCGGCAGCAGCAGAAGAAGGAAGCGGAGAGCCUGACGCGCGCUGAACCCCAUUGCCGCGCGCCGGCUGCACUCAUACAUCAUCCGGGAAGCGCGCGCCUGAGCUCGUGACUAAUCACGCGGCCACAAUUUCACAAUCCCACCCGGAAGACGCGCCCGACCGCCAGGGAGGGGAAGCAGCUGCCACGGCUGAGCGAAUGGCUCCGCCCCCUCGCCGUUCCGUGCUCCCUCCCUCCGCUGUUACCAUCCCCAACCCACUCCUCCCCCGGCAGAGCCCAUGUGCUGCUGAGCUGUGGACUGGGCUCAGGUCCCUCGCGCCCAGCGCACUCAGUGUAGGCGGCUGGUGCCAACAGGGCAGAGGUGGGGCGGCCACAGGGCUGCCCCCCACCUGCACCAGGCUGAGAUGUGAGCUGGACCACCCCUUGUUCUGUGCCCAGGUGCCAGCUCUGACUCACCCUGGGGUGGGCCUGCCCAGGGUCUCUCACCUGAGUUCUGUGAGUUAGAGCUGGUGCCAUGGCACAGACGAGGGGGAGCUGGCCUCGAGGUGAUGCCUUAUGUCCCAGGCAUUGGGACACGUGCUCUGAGGCUAAGGCAAGGUGUGGGCAGUCACCUCACCCUAACUCAGGGCAGGCACCGUUGCCACCCAGGAAAGCACCUGUGCCACUUUGAUGACUCUUGCAAUGCACAGAGCAGGCCACCCCCAUCUGAGAUGUGAAUGUGUGUUGUUUAUUUCAUUAUGUUUCAAUUAUUAUUAUUUGUCUUGGGGCACUGCUGUUGUUGCCACCUCUCCUAAUAUUUGAUUUUUGUCUGAAAACCGCAACUCCAGGAGUUUUAAUUACCAGGAGAAUUUCAGGUGUCAUUUAAAAAAAAGGAUUUUAGCCAUCAUGGUUGCAGAGAAAAGCUUGAAAAGGGGAACUCUAAAGGCUCACAAACCAGAAGGCAAAUAAAAAGUUUUUUUUUUAAAUCUUAUGAUUUUUAAGCCAGUGUCAUGAUUUUGGGAGGCCUGACAAUUAAACUGAAGUUUGUCAGUGAUUAAGAAUGAACACAAUAAACCAGGUUCCCAUGCUCUUGGGAAAAAAAAGUAGUCUUUUUCUAUGUAUGAUCAUAAGAUUCAUGCAUCAGCUUCUAAGUGCCAUUCUGCUCUUGUAUGAGUGUAUUUUCUAGAGGGGAGUGUUUCUGUGAUGGGCUUUAACUAGUUUUCAUGAUCUUUCACUGUUGUGGCAAAUCAUUUAUUGAAGCUGACUUUAUAAAGUUUCUCUUUUUAAAAGAAAAACAAUCACAAUGUAUAUCGCAUAUUUUAUAAUCCUGCCAACUGUGCUAAAAAUUUACUGAUUAAAAAACACCUGCAACAAAUAGUUUAAAAGUGUUUAACAUGUUACUAUAGCAGCUUGAAUUAUUUUAAAGCCCCAGGCUUACAUGAUGUUAGCACCUCAGACACAGUCAAUACAAGACACUGAUUGUGUUCAGAAUAAUUGCAUACAAGCAACCAGUUAAUACUUAUGAACAACAAGAAAAACCAACUGCUGCUCUCAGAACUGGGAUGUUAUAAAGGUAUUGCAGAAAUACUUUUCCAUUCAAUAUCAUUGGUCUUCUGGAAUACAUCAUGGGCCAAAUUCAAUGAAAUUGUACCAAGAAUGUAUUUGGCCUCAUAUAGCUAGACAAUUCAUCAGAAAGAAGGAAGAUGGGAUGUCUGGGUCUUACAUAUGGCAAGGUCAAGUUUGUAGGCAUGCAUAAAUUGUCAGUACACCCAAGUUGGUUUAAAAAGCCUGCAGCUAUAUUAUUAUUAUGAUGACAAAAUAAUCCACAAACUUUGGAAGGCUGCUGUAGUCACCAAGCAACAGUAUUAUCCUUUAUUACAAAAGUCAACAACAUAAUAAAACACACUUAAAAUAUUGGGCCUGAACACAAGAAUAACUCGACUUUAGCUUCCAAGAUUUCCCAAGAGUAAAACUGCAAGAAACCUUAUUCAGGUAAAUACCCUGUUAGCUAAUUCAUUUCUGAUAUUAAAGUUCUUAUUUCUGCUAUAUAUCUCUUUAUAAGACUUGCAGGGAAAAGAUAAGGGCAAAAAAAGUAUGAGUUACUGCUAGCUUAAGGGAAUAAGGAGAAAGAAUUACUACCAAGAAAAUAGGCCUGUUAAUAAAUGAAAAGGAAGACAAAAUUAACCACUAUUCUAAAUUAGCUAUGUUACUGAACAGCUUGUAUAGUUAAUCUUUUAAGAAGAUAAAUAAAAAAGGAGUAUGGACCAUUAUGAAGUAAUGAAGAACUUGCCUUCAUAGCUUUUGUGCACAGGAAAAUACAGAUCAUGAUGAAGGUAUCUGCAUCAUGCAAGCCUAGAAGGCAGGACAUUUAAGGAACCUGAAUGUUUGGUAGGACACAUGACAGCAUGGCAUUGGGACAUGUUGCUUGUUUAAAUGUAGAUUUGGUUGGUUUUCUUUCUCUGACAGUUCUUUGUAAGUGGUAGUCAAAAUUUAGUAGCACAAAUGAUUAAGUAUCAGAGGAGUAGCCAUGUUAGUCUGUAUCAAUGAGGUGUCCGGCGGUACCUUAAAGACUAACAGAUUUAUUUGGGCAUAAACUUUCGUGGGUAAAAAAAUCACUUCUUCCAAUGCAUGGAGUCAAAUUAUUAAUCUAUCUCAUAUAGAAGAAUGUUAUUAUUUAUUACUUGUAUUGCAGAGCUCGUAUGUGCUAGGCACUGUACAAACACAUAGGGUCAAAUUCUGGCCUAACUAAUACCAGUGUAAAACUAAUAGUAAAAUCAGUAGAGUUACUCUGGAUUUACACCAGUAAAACUGAAAGCAACAUUUGGUUAGCAUCACUCAAGGGCAACUAUUGGUGCUACAUCCAUCUACUGUAAGUUAUUGAACACUUGAUUUUAAUUCUGCCUUUGUUGUAAACUGUUUUAAAAAAUAUUGUUGCCUUUGAAAGUUGUUUGUACCUCCACAGAUGUUGACUGUAUUCUGAUUCUGAUUUUCUUUCUGGAUUAAUGGAACCUCAUUGCAGUCUGCUACUAUCUUGAGUGUUAAUUGCACUCUACAGACAGGGCCGGCUCCAGUGUUUCUGCCGCCCCAAGCGGCCGGGGGUUGGGGGGAAGCUGUGAUCGGCGGCACUUCGGUGGCAGCUCCACCGCGCCACUUCGUUCUAGUGCCGAAUUGCCACCGAAGAGCCAGACGUGCCACCCCUUUCCGUUGGCCGCCGCAAGCACCUGCUUGCUGCGCUGGUGCCUGGAGCCGGCCCUGUCUACAGACCAUAGCUAAAUUAGAAUGCUGGUAGAGGUAGGAGAUGCCACAUCUAGUGAAUAAAGUGAUGAUCCAGAGAUUGAAUCCUGUUAGUAAAUUAUAAGAAGAGACAAUAUUCUAGAGAAAGACUUUCUUUGCAAAAAUCCACAGUUCACUAUAAGAUGUGCACCAGACAGCUUCUUGGUUGAUUGGUACUGAGUAAAUAAUAAAAACAGGGAGAAACUCACCUCUCCUACUAAGAGCAUCUCUUCCUACAGUGGCCAGAUUCUGCCACAAGUUACAACUGUGCAGUCUCAUUUGGGACCAUCUGUUCAAAAACUGCACGUCUAGCCAUGCUUUGUUUGUCUAAUGUUUCACAUUUUGAUGCCAUGAAAUCCAAUUGAUUUCUGUAUUUGUAGUUUGUAACUUGUUGACGUUUUUAACCUUGAUUAAGCUUUAUGACUUUCUGAAAUGAAUACACCCAUACAGAGACAAAAACACCAAACUAGAGAAUAUUUUCCUUGAGUGAACCAAAAGAGGUAAUUAUUAUUUGAUUAGCAUUUGUUGUUGAAAUUUGCAUAGCUGUACAUUUUUGCUAACACUGAAGAUUUGUGAUACAUAAGCCAUUUUUAAAUUAAAUCCAUCUUGCUACUAAUUGAAUAGAUUUUUUAUUACCUUAUUAUAUUAUCUUGAUCUAUUUAGAGUAGUUUUGUGGAAGUAGAUGUCCUCCAUUAGUCUGUAAUAAAAUCUAUUGGAGGAAAUCAUGUUUUCCUUCCUUCCUGUUACUGUUGUAAAUAUUCUGUUUCAUUUUUAAAAAAAAUAAAAAGUUGUACCAGAUUCCCA